This 1457-nucleotide long non-coding RNA is filed under the name Elaeis guineensis (African oil palm). Its description in RNAcentral is "long non-coding RNA (EGUI_LNC042124)". The record is from RNAcentral. Lineage: Eukaryota; Viridiplantae; Streptophyta; Magnoliopsida; Arecales; Arecaceae.
UCUCACGGUUGUAAGGUACUCGCAAUUUCUCUUCCAAUGGCCCUCUUUGUUAUAGUGAUAGCAAGUACCUUUGGUGGAGACCUUCUUUGCCUUCUUCUUGGAAAUGCUAGUCUUAAGAUUCAUCUUUUUUUUAGAAUCCUUCUUGUCUUUCUUCUUGUUGAUCUUAUCGAUAAGAAGAACCAGAGCCUUUUCACCUUUGAAAUGGUUCUCUUCUAUUUUCAACAUGUUCAGCAGCUCUGGCAGGUUGAUAUUUAGCUUGUUCAUAUGGUAAUUUAUAACAAACUGAGAAAAAGAGUCAGGGAGAGACUACAUGAUCAAAUUCUGGCUCAGUUCAUCAUCCAUGGCAAAGCCCAGCUAUAUCAGAUGAGUGAUCAUCAAAUCAAUCAUCUUCAGGACAUGCAUUUGCACGGAGGUGCCUUCAGUUAUGCGGGCACAAAACAAUUGCUUUGAUAUCUCAUAUCGAGCAAUUCGACUUUAUUCCCCAUAUAACUUUUUAAGAUUAAGAAGUAUUAAGGGAACAUCCAUGUCCAUAUGCUGCCUCUGGAGCUCGUUGCUCAUCGAGGCAAGCAUGAUGCAUUUGACAGUCACACUGUCAUCUUUCACUCUUGUAUCUGGCCCUUUCCUCCUCAGAAGCAUCUUCUCCAAAGAAAUCUGGUGCAGGUGUAUCCAGAAUGUAGAAGACUUUCUCGUGAGUGAGAACAAUUCUCAACUUUCUUAACCAGUCCACUUUGUUAGGUCCGAUCAAUUUGUUUACAUCUAGGAUGUCUCCAAGUGACAGUGAGAAUGCCAUGUGUGUAGUUAAUCUACAAUAAUAAUAACAUAAUGUAAGCGGACGAUUCAUGAUGACAUUCACAACUAUAUUUAAACUUUUGCUUAUUUGUGUCUCCCACUAUUUUAUCAAACUUCAUAGCCCUUUUCUAUGAAAAUCGAGAAACAUACUAAUAUUUUUUAGUGGGGUUGAGAUCUCUAUUCCUCACAAAUACCUUGUGGGUAGCACAAUAAGUAUCAUGAGUUCAAGAGUAGGUAACUCUUUACCAAUUGUAUUUCUAUAAUUCUCAAUAUUUUUUUUUCUGGCCUCUAGAUCACAUAUAGCCUUGUGGAUUACACAACAAACUAUAGUGUUCUAGCUAAGUUAACCCUUUAAUCCCAUAUGGUCAUACUUAAACAAUACUGUUCUUGGGGAUAGCACAACAAAGCAAUACUAUUUAAAAUAUACCAUAAGCAUCAAUAUGCACUUGAUCAACAUCAUAUCAAUUUCUAUAGUAAGCCUUAUGGAUAGCAUAAUAAGCUCACUAAGAUCUUGACAUACUCUAUCGAUCAAGUUUGAAGAAAGGCCUUUGUAGUGUCUACAUCACUAAUCAAUAUAAAUUCAAAAUUUAAUAAGACCAAAUUGGCCAGGUCAGUAGGUGGGAGGCUCUCCGUAGCUUUUCUUAGACACCAACAUAGUUAGCCAGGCC